Molecule: long non-coding RNA, 1162 nt
Filed under: Vigna radiata
Lineage: Eukaryota; Viridiplantae; Streptophyta; Magnoliopsida; Fabales; Fabaceae
Description: long non-coding RNA (VRAD_LNC016996)
Source: RNAcentral
GGGCUGCAGAGUUGACUUGUUGAAGGUGCACACAGUCAUUUACACUUUGGAAGAAAGGAAUUUAUUCAUUUGUUUUUUUGGAAAAUUGAAACCGUGACUUCAUGACCUGGGAAGUGAACUUUGACGCUGGUUUUUGGGAGAAGAGAGAAUUAUAUUUUCUUUCACUUUAAAGGAAAGGGAGGUCACGGCCAAUAGGUCCAAUUUUACACUUAUUGCAAAUUCAAUUUCUUUGGUGGAGGUAAAUGAGGUCAAGUGACUUGGUAAAAAAAAAUAUAUGUUGUUUAUUUUCCUUAGCUUUAAAUUAGUUUGCAUUGUAUGACUCCAACAAACACCCAUCAGUAGGUGUUGAUAAUCUUCUCUCUUGAUAUCCUUUUCUUUUUCUUCUUCUUGUUGAAUUUCUUCAUAAAGUUGACAACACCAAGCACAUGUUUCCAUGUUUCAAUCAUAGGAACUUUAAUCUCCAAUUUCUUGAAGAUCUCCAUAAAGCACUUAAACUUCUUUUCCUUCCUAUGAUUUUUCUUUUGAUGAGGAAGGGGCUUUCCAUAUGAUCUUUUCUUCUUUCCUCUCUUCCUCUUUUUCUCUCUCUUCUCCUCCCUCAACUUUCUCUUUUUAUUUUCACUUAUUUUUUUCUUUCUUUUCUCACUUUUUUUCUUUUUUUCUUUUCUUUCAACCACUUAUUUUUCCUUAUCAUCAUUUUUAUCUCCCUCACUCAACUUUUCUACUUCUUCUUCCUCUUCAACUCGCUCUAUCUUUUCCUUCUCCAUCUUUAUUUGUUUCUCAUCAACAACCCUAUCACUUUCAGAGAUAGUGGCUUGGCAUUCAUCAUUAGGGUUAACUUCAGUAUUAACCCUAAUAAUACCUAGAGACUUCAACACGCAAGAGAUUUGUUCCAGCUGUAAACGUUCUUUAGCUUCUCCUAAUGUUUCUCUUGUCGAAGAGAGUUGUUGCUUAAAAUCUCGCCCAAUCUGGCUUUGAUCCAUGUAUGAGUGAGGUUCCCACCAGGGUUGAAACCAUUUUGGUAGAAUUGAGUGCCCAUAUACUCAAAUUCUUGUCCAUACUGCAUUCUGCAAACUUUAGGCACAGAUAAAAAUGAAAAUAAACAUAGAAUCAAGUCAAAUUCAAUCAAUUUACACUACUCAAAAAAGUAAACCUCGAGUUCCCG